RNAcentral lists this ribosomal RNA (497 nucleotides) under uncultured bacterium. RNAcentral describes it as "partial 16S ribosomal RNA". It matches the Rfam family "Bacterial small subunit ribosomal RNA", at positions 28 to 507 of the family's 1533-position model. The record is from RNAcentral.
GAUGAACGCUGGCGGCGUGCCUAAUACAUGCAAGUCGAGCGAACAGACGAGGAGCUUGCUCCUCUGACGUUAGCGGCGGACGGGUGAGUAACACGUGGAUAACCUACCUAUAAGACUGGGAUAACUUUGGGAAACCGGAGCUAAUACCGGAUAAUAUAUUGAACCGCAUGGUUCAAUAGUGAAAGACGGUUUUGCUGUCACUUAUAGAUGGAUCCGCGCCGCAUUAGCUAGUUGGUAAGGUAACGGCUUACCAAGGCGACGAUGCGUAGCCGACCUGAGAGGGUGAUCGGCCACACUGGAACUGAGACACGGUCCAGACUCCUACGGGAGGCAGCAGUAGGGAAUCUUCCGCAAUGGGCGAAAGCCUGACGGAGCAACGCCGCGUGAGUGAUGAAGGUCUUCGGAUCGUAAAACUCUGUUAUUAGGGAAGAACAAAUGUGUAAGUAACUAUGCACGUCUCGACGGUACCUAAUCAGAAAGCCACGGCUAACUACGUG